RNAcentral lists this ribosomal RNA (496 nucleotides) under uncultured bacterium. Its description in RNAcentral is "partial 16S ribosomal RNA". It matches the Rfam family "Bacterial small subunit ribosomal RNA", at positions 28 to 507 of the family's 1533-position model. The record is from RNAcentral.
GAUGAACGCUGGCGGCGUGCCUAAUACAUGCAAGUCGAGCGAACAGAUAAGGAGCUUGCUCCUUUGACGUUAGCGGCGGACGGGUGAGUAACACGUGGAUACCUACCUAUAAUUCUGGGAUAACUUCGGGAAACCGGAGCUAUUACCGGUUAACAUAUUUAACCGCUUGUUUCAAUAGUGAAAGUCGGAUUUGCUGUCACUUAUAGAUGGCUCCUCGCCGUAUUAGCUAGUUGGUAAGGUAACGGCUUAUCAAGGCAACGAUACGUAGCCGAACUGAGAGGGUGAUAGGCCACACUGGAACUGAGACACGGUCCAGACUCCUACGGGAGGCAGCAGUAGGGAAUCUUACGCAAUGGGCGAAAGCCUGACGGAGCAACGCCGCGUGAGUGAUGAAGGUCUUCGGAUCGUAAAACUCUGUUAUCAGGGAAGAACAAAUGUGUAAGUAACUGUGCACAUAUUGACGGUACCUGAUCAGAAAGCCACGGCUAACUACGUG